Long non-coding RNA from Myotis myotis, 498 nucleotides. RefSeq lists it as uncharacterized. Lineage: Eukaryota; Metazoa; Chordata; Mammalia; Chiroptera; Vespertilionidae. The record is from RefSeq and is a predicted model, not a curated record. The transcript is spliced from 5 exons.
UAUAGGAAGUAUGGAAAACAAACUAACAAUAGGAAAAAGGUAAGAUAUACUCUAAGGAGUGACAGUGUUGGGAACCUAAGAGGGAAAUCCUUCGUUCAGACUAUGCACUGAGUAAAUUCCAGUUCACUGAGCAUCAUUCACGGGCCACAUGUGCUUACAAUGUCAUUUUUCAACAAAACUUCCCUGGACCCCAGCUUAGAAGAUGUGCCUUUAAUUGUGAUCCUACAAAACCCCAACCCUCUUCUUUGUGAGAGAUCAGUAAUGUAUGAUUUAAAGAAAAGAAAAAGACAAUUGCCUCACCUCAUCGUUGGCUGAGUUUCGAUAGAAUAACAACAUUGAAAAAUAUUGCCCAUUUGAAGAACUGGGAUUCCUGAAGCACUUUUAAUUUCCAAGAGGUUGUGACAAGGAAUAAGCAGAGGGAAGUAGUGAGGAGAGCAUUUCUGCCUGAGAGGCAAGGAAGGAGGAGAAUAGUUGUGAACGGGGAGGGAACCAGUACAG